GCGGGUAUAGCUUAAUGGUAAAGCACCUGCCUUCCAAGCAGGCUAUCUCGGUUCGAUCCCGUGUACCCGCUCCA
Molecule: transfer RNA, 74 nt
Filed under: Sagittula marina
Lineage: Bacteria; Pseudomonadati; Pseudomonadota; Alphaproteobacteria; Rhodobacterales; Roseobacteraceae
Also listed under: 1 other name
Description: tRNA-Gly
Rfam family: tRNA
About the family: Transfer RNA (tRNA) molecules are approximately 80 nucleotides in length.
Source: RNAcentral